Molecule: ribosomal RNA, 400 nt
Filed under: uncultured bacterium
Lineage: Bacteria
Description: partial 16S ribosomal RNA
Rfam family: Archaeal small subunit ribosomal RNA
Source: RNAcentral
AUACCCGCAGCGCAAGCGGUGGUCGAUUUUAUUGGGUGUAAAACGUUCGUAGCCGGUUCAUUAAAUCCUUGGGUAAAUCGGCUGGCUUAACUAUCCGAAUUCCGGGGAGACUGGUGAACUUGGGACCGGGAGAGGCAAGAGGUACUUUUGGGGUAGGGGUAAAAUCCUGUAAUCCUAAAAGGACCACCGGUGGCGAAGGCGACUUGCUAGAACGGAUCCGACGGUGAGGGACGAAGCCCUGGGUCGCAAACGGGAUUAGAUACCCCGGUAGUCCAGGGUGUAAACGCUGCAGACUUGGUGUUGGGGACCCUUCGGGGGUGUUCAGUGCCGGAGAGAAGUUGUUAAGUCUGCUACUUGGGGAGUACGUCCGCAAGGAUGAAACUUAAAGGAAUUGGCGGGG